This 2045-nucleotide long non-coding RNA is filed under the name Octopus vulgaris (common octopus). The record is from RNAcentral. Lineage: Eukaryota; Metazoa; Mollusca; Cephalopoda; Octopoda; Octopodidae.
CAGUAUUCAUUGUAGCUCUCUGCGCACCGAGUUCAAUUCCUACUGUGAUCAGCUUCGUCUUUCAUCCUUUCAGAAUCGAUAAAGAACUGGCUCAACGUUAUAAGCGUCACCAGUCACAUAUCUUUGCGUUCGAAGAUGGCAAUGGCCAGGGUUCUUCACUUGACGACAUGAGCACCCUGUCCAAAUCGCAGUUGUUCCUCAUAAACAGUAUACGCAAGUCGACAAUAGGUAAAUGAAAAUCCCUGUUAUUUUGCAAUCUACUUCGUUUAAACUAGUGAUUAAUGUGGAGGUGAGGGAGCAAACUUCCACAUUUAAUAUUUGUCCAAUAUAAUGGCGAUGUAAUCGACUAGCCCCCCCCCCCCUCUUACCAAAAUUUCAGGUCUUGUGCCUCUAGUAGAAAGGAAUGUAAUCACGAAACAAAUAGAACGAUACGGAUGUAAACUGACUGUCUUAUCAUUAACAAAGAAUUAAUAAAAUUUGACUAAUAUUCUUUGGAGUAAUCUGUCUUUUGUCAGUUGGAGAAUCACUUUGAUUAAGUCACUUUGAUAAGUAAGUAACCUUGAAACGUAACUCAUUACAGUUGCCGCUGUCUUGAAAUCCAAGUUUGCUCUGUCUCAGUGGCUAAUUAAUGUAAAUCAGUGGAAUCAAUUAAAACAGAAAAGGUGAUUCAAGUCAUGCACUCGAAAUACUUUUGUAAAACUGCCCAGAAAUCAGUUGAAUUCUGCCGUUUGGAUCAGUGAGACGCACAAUGGUAAAUGUUGGCAGCAGGAUGGAGGAACCAAAAACGGGGAAAGGCAACUUUAAAAUCCACUAUCCUGCUUUGGAUUCUUUUUGGUAACUAAACUCUGAGAUUUUCUAGGUAACUUGCAAUUGUAACAGGUUUUUAAAGAAUUGACACACAAGAGAGUUGAGACAAGACAAGGUAAGGCCAUCUCUUUUGACCAGCUCUCACGAUGUAGUGUUUUGAUUCAAGUAAAAAAUGAAAUUAGCCUCUUUGUUACAAAACAGAUAUUAAAUCUAUCGAAAAUUUGCUUCACAAUUAAGAUGCAUACCUUUGUAAUUUAUUCGUUGUUAUUUUUAAAAACGUAAUAUAGGAUGCGAAAUUAUGAUUACUGAUGAUAGUCACUUAGUAAACUCGUCAGAUAUGAAAAUUUAGACCAUUUCAUUUAAUAUCCAUUCCCUCCAGUCGUAAAAACGAAGUUUGAAAGUUACAUCUUUAUAUAUAAAAGAGAAGUUGUGUGCUGUCUGUCUCCUACGAUUUAGAUUCCUAACUACUCCCACAUUUUGCGGUGCAGUUUAACCAAAACCGGGUAUCUUAUAGUCGUGAUUCAUAUCGAGCCCUUCUGGGUAUUAGCGCGCGUCUACGAUGAGUCUACGAUUUAAAAAAAAAAUUACAAUAAUUUUUUCCAUUUUAAUGCAUUUUUUCGCUAUUAUAUAAGGGAAGUAACUCUCUAAAAAUGUCUACGAUGAGUCAAAACGAUUUAAAAAAAAAUUACCAUAAUUUUUUUUUCAUUGUUAAUGCAUUUUUUUGGCUAUAACUCUCUAAAAAUGCUUAUAUAGUUAUUUCCCUUACAAACCCGAGCAACGCCGGGCGAUACUGCUAGUUAAAUCUAAUUUAAUAUCUUCGGAAGAUUUAAUUUUUUCACAUUGUCGAGCAAUGUUACUCUUAAUUUCUUCUUUCCUUUGACAUGACUUUUAACAUGUAGAAACUUGUAGUGACAGAAAAAAAAAACAACAACUUUAGAUUGCUGAAACUCUUCCUAUUCGACUUUUGCAAGUAAAUUCACGAGUAAAGAAGUUAUAAUUGUCCUGUAUCCUUCCUUCUAUUUUUCCACCCUUUAAUAUACACAUCAGUUAAAACGUCUACUUUGCAGAUAAAGAAAGGAAAAACAUUUCUCUCACAGACAAGCGAUGAAAAUAGUCACGUUUGAAUGAUAUUGGCAAUUAAGGUUUAUGGUGUGAGUACCUUGCUGUAGUCUUCGCUGAAUAAAAAGGAACCAAAAUGAAAUUCUGAGGACCGAAUGCAUAUUGAUUAACAUCGGAAG